Molecule: long non-coding RNA, 369 nt
Organism: Thalassophryne amazonica
Lineage: Eukaryota; Metazoa; Chordata; Actinopteri; Batrachoidiformes; Batrachoididae
Exons: 3
Source: RefSeq, a predicted model, not a curated record
CAAGCAUUAUAAUAAAAUUGUUAAAAUUAAACAGGACAAAGCAGUUAUGGUUGUAGUUAGUAGGCUUGUCUAAACAGAUGAGUUUUGAGUUUAGACUUGAAAUCAGUGAGUGAAGUGGUAUUGCGGAGGUCUGGGGGGAGAGUGUUCCAGAGCUGGGGAGCAGAGCGGCUGAAUGCCCUGCUCCCCACAGUGACAAGACGGGUGGGGGGGGACGGAAAGCUGGUGGGAGGAAGCGGAGCGGAGGGAACGGGCAAGUGAGUUGAUGUGGAUGAGGUCAGUCAAGUACGGGGGGGCAAGGUUGUGGAUGGCUUUAAAUGUGAGGAGCAGAAGUUUGUAGUGGAUGCGGUGAGAGAUGGGGAGCCAGUGAAG